UACGUAGGGUGCGAGCGUUGUCCGGAAUUAUUGGGCGUAAAGAGCUCGUAGGCGGCUCGUCGCGUCGACCGUGAAAACCCGCAGCUUAACUGCGGGCUUGCGGUUGAUACGGGCGGGCUAGAGUUCGGUAGGGGAGACUGGAAUUCCUGGUGUAGCGGUGAAAUGCGCAGAUAUCAGGAGGAACACCGGUGGCGAAGGCGGGUCUCUGGGCCGAUACUGACGCUGAGGAGCGAAAGCGUGGGGAGCGAACAGG
RNAcentral lists this ribosomal RNA (253 nucleotides) under uncultured bacterium. RNAcentral describes it as "partial 16S ribosomal RNA". It matches the Rfam family "Bacterial small subunit ribosomal RNA", at positions 524 to 776 of the family's 1533-position model. The record is from RNAcentral.